GAGUAUAGUGUCUCUGUGAUCCCAUCACCUUCCGAAAACCCAUUUCUGAACAGGUCCUCCCGCAUGAGACGGUCCUCACUCCACUGCUGCCUACCUCCAGAGACGGCUGAACCCUCAAACCUGUGCGGGUCACAGAGGCCACGUGGACAGCCCUCACUCACCCCACCUGUGUGCUCACUGCCAAGCUCCCGUCCAAUCAGGACCAGAAUACUGACUGCAGCUAUGCGCCAAAGAGUGGCCCCCUAGGUGUGCAUCAGUCACCUUGUCUCACACAGGGUCCCCCGGGCUGCAAAGGGAGAGUGAGUCUCUCAAGGUUGAACGAUGAGAUGAGAAGGCUUGUGUUGGUGAGCCUCAAGCACCACAGGUGCGGCGUUAAGGUCUCCAGUAGCCCCUUUGCCAUGAAGACUAUGCCAUCGCACCAUGCCAUGGGUGGUACUUGGACUGAGAACAGACUGCCCAGCACCCAGAACUGAGAAGAAACAUGCUGGUUUGCAGACACUGAACCAGAAGUACAUGGACUGGGUUCUCUCAUAGACGCCCUCAGUGAACUUUUCUCUGAAUGACUGUGUAUAGGGAAGAGAAGAGGGUGUCACCUAACACAGGGAUCGAUUCUUCCCAGUGAUACAGGAGCUUUUGAAACACACCCGCUCAGGCUCAACGGCAUCAUUGAACGAGUGGUUUCAGCCAAAAGGUGGUUAUGUCCACAUCUGUAGCACAUCUGCACAUAUCUGCUCAUCACUAGGGUGACCAUGUACUGAAGUUCUCUGGCUCAGGAUAGACAGGAAGACACACUGACCCAUACAGACUGUGUGUUCACUGGGGCUCAGAGUGAGACGCCUGUCCCUGUGACCCACAGGACAGUGACUAAAGGCAAAGUGUGGACCAGAAAAGAGAGGUCAGCUCAGGAGCCUGGGUGCUCAGGUCCUACGUGACUUCCCUGUCCAGACCCAAUGGUUCUUUUUUUUUUUUUUUUUUUUUUUUUUUUGAGCUCUCUUAAAUUCUAACCCAACUAAACUGAUGUUCUUAAGGAUAAAAAAAAAAAAAAAA
Chinchilla lanigera (long-tailed chinchilla) is the source of this 1047-nucleotide long non-coding RNA. RefSeq lists it as uncharacterized. NCBI's taxonomy places the organism in Eukaryota, Metazoa, Chordata, Mammalia, Rodentia, Chinchillidae. The transcript has 3 exons. The record is from RefSeq and is a predicted model, not a curated record.